CGUCAAGGAAAGUCGUUAUUUCGGUUGGCCACGCCUUCGAGAAGACCCAACAAUGAAUGACGUCUUAAAGUGAUUGCUUCUGCUUUGAUGAGAGGCUUGACGGAGUUUUUUUUUUUUUCCUCUUGUCUUGAAGUUUAAUCUCGAUCCAGCUGUAAACUAUCAUCCGUGUUUCACACGCUGGUGAUUCGUAAACGUGUGUGGUGUUUUAUUUACGUGACGGUGGCAAAGCCGAGAGGAACGCUCGCUCUCUCUUGGUUGUUUUGCUUCUGUUCGAAUCCCGACCCGGUUUUAAGAAGCCAGUACAAUGGCUUCGUCAUUUUUCCAAAGGAUGUUUUCCUUUUUUGGAAGUAAUACGAAGCCUGGUCCCACGUCAAAAAAGGAAAAUGGUGGACAACCAACAGACAAUUCCUGCAGACAGGUCAAAAACAACCUGAAAACAUCCCAGCAGUCCUUUAAGAAGACGAGUGCUGCGCCAAAGAGCAGUGGACAUCCCAAAGACAAUUCUUGGAGACAGAUCAAAAGCAACCUGAAAACGGCCCAGCAGUCCUCAAAGAAUACUCGUGCUGUGCCAAAGAGCAGUGCAUUCUCAGCCACCUUGCUCUAUGGUGACGAAAGUCGUAUCCUCGGUUACCUUGCUGGGGACUGAAGCCGCCACGUUUUUGGCCUGCUCAAUCAUUCCUCGACUUGGAACAUGCCACAAUGAUUUCUUUCCAUGCCACAAUGACACAAUUUUAUUUUAUUUUUCACUUUCCUCACUCACUUUAUCGAAUUCCUGAUUAUCGUACCUCUGAAUCGCUGGGUACAUUGUGAUGCUUGUAAAUGCCUAAGGGAAGCCAGCAUUUAUGGCUUUAUUUCAUUUGCGCAUGUGCCAUAACUUCAAUAAUCACUUAAACUAAGCUGAAUUACAAGAAUAGAGCUCCAUAUUUGAUCUUUGCAGCAACUCCAACUGCUAAAAUGUGUUAAUUUGUCCAUUUCUGACAUUGCUUGGGCGUCUCCGAGAGGUUUUUGUUAUGACGGAUCAUUGCUUGUCAAGCCAGCCUUUCUUCAUCAACUGUUUCGUUGGAGUGCUUCCAUGAGUGCUUUUGCCACUUGGUGAACGUUCUGCAAUAUUCGCACUGUUACAAAAUACUGUGUAUUGAUUGACUUGAACAAUGUUCAGGGCCCAUUCAGCAGUGUUGGCCCCAUGUUGUUCUGUGGUGUAUCAGGCUCACUGAAAAUGUGACAAUUUUUGUUAAACCAAGUUUCCCAUUUUUGUGCAAUCUUCUUUCAUGAUACGAGCCAUCACUUCAGCAUCAAUAAAGACAAACAAAAAAAUGGAAGGUUUCAUAAACAUCAUGGCAGGAUAGCCGAGAGGUACGGUACGCAUGCUUGCUCUUAGCCGCCAAGCCUGGGUUUGAAUCCCAACCCAGCAAAAAAGUGUCAUCCCAUUGUUUCACAGGCAGGAUGAUUCAUAAAUGUGUGUGUCGUUCAACUGGAUGUCACAUUUGACAGAAAGCCCCCCCCCCGCCUGGCCACCCCACUUCCUGUCUCACCCCUCUUCCUGUCUCACCCCUCUGCCUGUCUCACCCCUCUGCCUGUCUCACCCCUCUGCCUGUCUCACCCCUCUGCCUGUCUCACCCCUCUGCCUGUCUCACCCCU
Eptatretus burgeri (inshore hagfish) is the source of this 1638-nucleotide long non-coding RNA. NCBI's taxonomy places the organism in Eukaryota, Metazoa, Chordata, Myxini, Myxiniformes, Myxinidae. The record is from Ensembl.